AGUUUGAUCCUGGCUCAGGAUGAACGCUGGCGGCGUGCCUAAUACAUGCAAGUCGAACGAAUCUCUUUUAGAGAUGAGUGGCGAACGGGUGAGUAAUACAUAGGUAACCUGCCCCUGUGCGGGGGAUAACAGGAGGAAACUCCUGCUAAUACCGCAUAGCCAUGAGCACCGCAUGGAGCUCAUGCCAAAUAUCCUUUCGGGGAUAGCGCAGGGAUGGACCUAUGGCGCAUUAGCUGGUUGGCGGGGCAACGGCCCACCAAGGCAACGAUGCGUAGCCGGCCUGAGAGGGCGGACGGCCACAUUGGGACUGAGACACGGCCCAGACUCCUACGGGAGGCAGCAGUAGGGAAUUUUCGGCAAUGGGGGAAACCCUGACCGAGCAACGCCGCGUGAGCGAAGAAGGCCUUCGGGUCGUAAAGCUCUGUUGUAAAGGAAGAACGGCGCAUACAGGAAAUGGUAUGCGAGUGACGGUACUUUACCAGAAAGCCACGGCUAACUACGUGCCAGCAGCCGCGGUAAUACGUAGGUGGCGAGCGUUAUCCGGAAUCAUUGGGCGUAAAGAGGGAGCAGGCGGCCGCAAGGGUCUGUGGUGAAAGACCGAAGCUAAACUUCGGUAAGCCAUGGAAACCGGGCGGCUAGAGUGCGGAAGAGGAUCGUGGAAUUCCAUGUGUAGCGGUGAAAUGCGUAGAUAUAUGGAGGAACACCAGUGGCGAAGGCGACGGUCUGGGCCGCAACUGACGCUCAUUCCCGAAAGCGUGGGGAGCAAAUAGGAUUAGAUACCCUAGUAGUCCACGCCGUAAACGAUGGUCACUAAGUGUCGGGGGUCAAACCCCGGUGCUGCAGUCAACGCAAUAAGUGACCCGCCUGAGUAGUACGUUCGCAAGAAUGAAACUCAAAGGAAUUGACGGAAGG
RNAcentral lists this ribosomal RNA (912 nucleotides) under uncultured bacterium. Its description in RNAcentral is "bacterial SSU rRNA". It matches the Rfam family "Bacterial small subunit ribosomal RNA", at positions 10 to 920 of the family's 1533-position model. The record is from RNAcentral.